Molecule: ribosomal RNA, 478 nt
Filed under: uncultured bacterium
Lineage: Bacteria
Description: bacterial SSU rRNA
Rfam family: Bacterial small subunit ribosomal RNA
Source: RNAcentral
GAACGAACGCUGGUGGCGUGUCUAUACAUGCAAGUCGAGCGAGGCAGCAAUGCCGAGCGGCGAACGGGUGAGUAACGCGUAAGCAAUCUGCCCCGUAUCAGGAAAUACCCGUGCCAACGCGCGGUUAAUGUCCAGGAGAGUGGGAGCCUGCAUGGGCUCUUGACUAGAGAUUUAUCGGUACGGGAUGAGCUUGCGUCCGAUUAGCUAGUUGGCGGGCAACGGCCCACCAAGGCGACGAUCGGUAGCCGGCCUGAGAGGGUGAUCGGCCACAUUGGGACUGAGAUACGGCCCAGACUCCUACGGGAGGCAGCAGUAGGGAAUAUUGCACAAUGGGGGAAACCCUGAUGCAGCAACGCCACGUGUGGGAAGAAAGCAUUUCGGUGUGUAAACCACUGUCAUGAGGGAAUAAGGCCUGUCUUCGGGCAGGAUUGAAUGUACCUUGAGAGGAAGCACCGGCAAACUUCGUGCCAGCCGCUGC